ACGUGGGUAUCGUCGUAUCCCUGGUCGUAUCGAAGAAGAACCGUACAUAUCGAGCAUAAUUUUUAUGAAACUUUGUCGAAAUAAAAUAGUUAUGCCAUGCAAAGGGAUAGGUUAGUAUUAAAUUUAGCUAUUUUUAACGUUUGUGCACUGUUUUUGUCAAGUUCUAGCCGUGUUUUGAAACACGUGCUGCAAAUUCAUUGAAUUUUAUACACUUCGCCAACUAUUCAAGCGCUUCGUUCUCGCUUUAAAAUAGUCGCUUUUCUCCUUCGUAUUUCUCCCAAAUUUUCUUGCAAUAAUGUUCCGAAAUACCCCCAGCUUUGAUUGAUAUAACUCAUAUUUGUUUUAUCUGCUGUUUCAGGACAACAAUUGGACAGGAAAGUUGACAAAGUUUUAAUAGUGAUAAGUCGCCGACCUAAAGCACGUGCACGUGGUAAGCGUCAAUUAUCACUUUUUUUUUAACAAAUUUUAUUUGGAUCGAUAUUCACAAUUUUUAACAAACAAAAGAAUAUAACAGAACAAAUAUUUAUUAAAUUAGAUAACCUAGAUAUCAAAUGUAGAUCCAAAAAGGUAAGGGACCGGUCAUAAAGUAAUUACUAGAGGGGAUGGAGGAUAAAUGAAAUUUCAAGUACAUAUUUCCAUACCCUCCCAAAAACCUAUGGAAAAAUUUUCGUAACCCCCUUCAAUGUAAGUGAAAAUUUUCAAACCCCCCGUUCUAUCAUUAAUUCUGUUAUAACAUUUGUCUUGCGUUUAUCUAUAUUUCGAAACUCUCCAGUUUGUGAUAACUCUCCCACUUCUUGUAGUGGUAACCAUAUUCUCAACAUUUUCCGCAGUCUCCGAUUCGUCACCAGUUUUUUCUGAUUUUGGCAUACUAGCGAUGGGCUGAGGGUAAGAUCAAACAGAAAAAUUUGUUUGGGGUUUAUUUCAAAUAGAAAACAUUUGCUUCCAUUCAAUGUGACACUUCCUCAUCAGGUUUAUCAAGUUCUAAUGCCGGUGUGAGCUUGCUAGCGUUGACAAUUCAGGUGUAUCAGAUUUGUACUCCAAAAGUUCAACGGAUACUGAAUCCUACUUAUCAUCUGACAUUGAGUUAGACUAAAACAUAUACCUUGUGAUGAUUUAAUAAUUAUAGAAAAAAUCUGGGCACAAAUACUUUCAAUAUUCAACAUUAGUAUAAUUACAUAGGUGAUUAUUGAAAAUUCUCCACGCUGAUUGGUUGCCGUUAAGGUGAUUAUUACGCGAUAAUCACCUAAGCGAUUUUCAAAAUGGCGGCCGAAGCCGUUUUGUCAAUUAAAUGACGAAGAAAUGUGUAUUUUUUAUUUUUUUCUAAAUAAUCACCUAUGAAAUUAUACUAAAACAAUUAUUCACCUCAGGCUCGGUGAUUAUCGUGAAUAAAAACCUCGACUUCGUCUCGGUUUUUAUUCACCGAUAAUCACCUCGCCUUCGGCGAAUAAUUGUUAAAUAAUAAUUAAAUCUGGGCACAAAUACAUUCAGGGGCGGAUCUAGGAUUUUUCGUACCUCAGUCACAAUUUUUUGGUGGACGGGGGGUUAUCGGCGCUGGGCGUGGACUCGACUGGGCGUGGUCGACUCCAGACGGGGGGAGUGGGCGCUAAAUAAUUUUUAUGUUGAUAGUCCGCCACUGGAUUUUUAGAAUUUUCCGUACAUAAAAUGCGAUUUGCCCCCCCCCCCACACACACCUAUUAACCCAAAUCCUAAUUAAUCAAAUUAUACAACAUAUUUAGAUUAACUUAAUAAACUCAAACGAACAUUUGAUCCCUAUCCACAGGCACUGCAAGAACUACAAAUGCACAAAGAUGUAUUGAUGAUAAUACUUUAAAACUCAGCAGCAAUUUAACAUAUUUGCCUGUGGAUUAAGAAUCGUCGUCAUAUUGGUACUAUAUGCUUAUAAGUGUAUCAUUGUAAAACGUCUAAAAUCAUAUGGCAGCAAAUGCGUUAAGGAAAUAUACUGUUCUGUUACCAAAAACACAGAACUAUACAUAAGAAGUAAUUGCCAGUAGCCUGAGUUCCAAAAAAACAACCACAUAUUCAUUAACUAAGUCAAAGAUGUUAAUUAAGUCAAAUAUUAAUAAACUAAACUCUUACUAUUAAUAAAGUCUUACUGUGGUCUAUAUAUUGAACACAAAAUAUACUAUUAAUAAACUAGUAACAUCAGAACGGCUACCAGUCAAAGAGCUUUUCAAGCUACCUACAAUUAAAUAUUUCACAUCAUCGUGUUACAUCAGACGUCGACCAAUGCGGUCUAACAAGCCAUGACUUGAUCUAACAAGACAUGACUUGGUCUAACAAGUCAUGUCUUGGUCCAAUGCGGUCUAACAAGACAUGACUUGGUCUAACAAGCCAUGACAUGUCGAUAGGCUAUGGAUAAACAAUACACGUAUACGCGUUACGCGUACAUGUUGUGUGAUUAAUGCAUAAAUAUAAAGAAAUUUUAAAUAAAACUUCACUAACAUGAGAAUCAACAAAUGCUCACAAUGUAGACAUUGAAUAUUAACAUAUUUUAGCUUCUUGACGCGAGAAUUAUGCUAAUACAGCAAUACAGCAUAGUGAAUAUAUUAAAAUAUCAUAUGUCAGACAAUCAUUAACAACACCGAUGGCUUGGUACUCCGAUUUAUAAACCUUUAAUAUGAACUAUAAAACCAUAAAUUUAUCUACCUUAUUGCAGUGCAAGCUUUGUCUUUCUCUAGCAGUAGCUCUCUGUGCCACAAUUUCUAGCGAGGCUUCUGCUUGUAUUGUUGAUGGCGCCGCUUAGUAGCUUGUCAACAAAAUUUGUCCGUGAGGCAUCGAUAUUCUUUUCAAGCUCCGUAUACAAACGUUGUAUAGAGAUUCCAAAUUGUUUGCCGCAAUCGCAAACUGAACAUUGUCGAAAAUGUUUCCAGAUAUCGCUGGUAGAAAUCGCACGUAAUAGUAAACGUUCGAAAUAGUAAACACUCAAAGGUAAACACAAAUGCGGUGUUGACGAAUACCUCACGUUGCGAAUCCGUCGAAAAUAUAAGCCAAUGACAGUGCAGAAUUUUUUUAAAUGGUUCAAUCAGAAGGCUCAUACAGAGCCCCUGAAUCUGCAAAUCCGUCAGGCCUCCCCACAGAUCCGUCGCAAAUGGUCGUAACCAUGGAAAUGAGCAUGUCAGCCAAUCAGAUAGCCGGAUUUGACCCCCGAAUCCGUCAACUUUCAUGCGUAAGACCGCUGUUCGUGACUGACUAACAUUACUUUGCCGAAGCUCUGCCGCAGCAUGAAACGCAUAACUGGACUACCGGUACGAUUCAAAAUUUUAGUAACUCGAUCUACUGGUCACUAUAGAUAGCUGGAGUCAAAUUUUUUUAAGUAGGCAAUUUUUACUUCAGUCGCGCGACUGAUUUGACGACCCCUAGAUCCGCCCCUGAAUACAUUCAAUAUUCAACAAUAGUUAUAAAAUGUAAUUUUUUUCCGUACCUAUAGUACUAAGAUUUUGGUACCCCCUAGAGGUUCUGUUGUUUUUUUCAUACCCCCCUCAGAGGUUCUCUUUUUCGUACCCCCAAAAAAUAUCCUCCACACCCCCUAGUAUAUACUUUAUGACCGGUCCCUAGGUACGAACGGGACUCUUAUAUAGAAGGUCCCGUGCAGCAGGGCUGCAAAAUUACCACUGAAAAAGGAAUUAAUUCCAAUUACAAUUAGUUGCUUUAAAAUAUAAUAAUUUCUGAUUACAAUUACUUGUUCUAAAAUGUAAUUAAGUACAAUGGAAAAAUUACAGCGGAAAAAAGGAAUGAAUUACAAAUUCCUUUACCGGCAAAUUGUUACUAUAUAUAUUAUACAGGGUGUCCAAAAAAACCGAAAACUAUUGAAAUGAAUAAUGCCUCAGCACUCUGCUUACCCUGGUUCCAGAGCUUUAAAAUAAACCUCUGGUUGAAAGUGGCAAUUGAUUCAUCGAGCCGUGCCAAUCAGUUUGAAUUAGGGUCAGACCCUGACUCUGUCUCCUGAUCAGAUGAUUUUAUUAAAGCUCUCUGAUUUGUUAUAGAUGUUUUAUUUGAAUCAAUCAGAGAGCUUUAAUGGGUCGUUCCAGAAAAGAUCCAUACCCACAGAGGAAAUUUUUGCUGUCUGAAGGGGGAGGGAGGAAAAAUGUCUUAGGAUGUCCGAAGGGGGGAGAGGAAUGUGGAUAUGUUUGUCUGAAAGUUUGAGACUGUGAUAAAGCUAUGUGAUCGGCGAUUAUAUAGCAAAGUAGAGGCUGUUUUCGCAGGCUAGCGAUUAUAAUGAGCACACAAAUUGUAUCUGCUAUAUGUAGCUCUUAAACACCGGAACGUUUAUGUAACAGCAAUAAUUAUACGUCCACGUAACUCGUAAGCAAAAUAAGCGGCCCACUUUUGCAUGCAUCACCACCAAAAACUAACUCGCUGUAACAGCGUAUCCUGCAAGUUCAGAAUGAGUCGAAAAUUGACACACUUUUGCAGUUUUCGUUCGUAACUGAUAAGUUUGAAUUAUUCAAGUGUUAAAAAUAAUAGUUAUUAAACUGUUGCUCGAAUACUGCUAUGUGAACUGAACCCCAAAUAAUUUGUUUUAGUAUAUAGUCAAUAAAGCUUCCUUGCGAGGUGCGUGUCUAGAAAAUAGAAAUGGCUGUCAUAUUAAGGGCGAGGUUAAGGAAUGCAGUAAUACUAAAAAUGCAUUAACAUGUAAGUAAACAUAGCAAUGCUUGUCAAUCAGUCGCAAGUUACAUCGAAUUUCAGUCCGAAUUUUACUUGAUCGAAUUUCGAAGUGAAUUUCUGCAAAUUAUCCGACAAAACCUAGCUGCCAUGUGUUUGUGUUUGCAAGAAGCCGCCAAGUGUUCCGCCACGCCGGAGCUAUUUGAAAACAGCGUAGAAAAGUCACAAUAAGCCAUCGCUUUACCACUACGCUGGAGCAAAAUCGUUUGAAAACUUUCACGUGUCAUUUUUGCCGUAACAAUUUGAGCACGGUUUCUAAACGGAGCGAGGUGAAAACGGAGCGCUUGAUAGCUUCGUGUGAACACAAACAUGUAAACUCGAAUGCUUUUCAGUUAAAUUUCUUGGCUCAAUUUCAAAUAUUUUGGGUUUACAUGAGUGCUAAUUUAAUUUGUAAACAAACUGUAAUGGCGUAGUCUGAACACACGUAAAUUCUGCCCGCAUUAGUUCGCUCGCGCGUAAGUGUGAACGUAGUCUAAUUUUUGGUGAUGUUUUCAAACGGCGAGGUUGCCUUUAGAAAAAUUUAGAAAUAGUGGAUGUCUGAAGGGGAGGGGGGUAAUUUUGGGCUUUGACGUCCGGAGAGGGGGGGAGGAUGAACCAUUCAAGGAUGUCCGAAGGGGGGAGGGGGUUAUUUUCGAUUUCCUCUGUAGGGGUACCCUGGAUUCCAGAGCCUUCGACAGUAAAUAAUAAAUUGAAAUGUCGCGAAGGCUCUGGUUCAACGGGGCGAUUAUUUGAUUAAACCGCGCCAAUCACAAAACAGAAUUAGUGGUUUUAGUACAGGAUUCUUUGAUUAAACCGUGACAAUCACAAAAUAGAAUUAGUGGUUUUAGUACAGAAUCUGUACUAAAACCACUAAUUCUGUUUUGUGAUUGGCGCGGUUUAAUCAAAGAAUCGCCCCGUUGAACCAGAGCCUUCGCGACAUAUCAAUUUAUUAUUUACUGUCGANNNNNNNNNNNNNNNNNNNNGGGUAUGGUUCUUUUCUGGAAUGACCCAAUACAAUCAUCCAAUCAGGAGACAGAGUCAGGAUCUGACCCUAAUUCAAACUGAUUGGCGCUGCUCGAUGAAUUAAUUGCCUGCUUUCAACCAGAGGUUUAUUUUUCCUCUCCCCUUCGCAAUGCAAAUAAUAAAAUUUAACCUCUGGAACCAGGGUACACUCUGCUGAACCCACAUGUGCAUAAAAGCUUGACGUAAGUAAAUUUUAUGCAUAAAGAAACCGUUUAAGAUGCUGUUUUAAAUUACCAAGAGCAGAAAAUUGUGCGCUUUACAAAGAUAUUUUAAUUUCUUAAUAAGUCAAUAUUUAAUAUAUGCACCCUUGUCAAUAUUUUACGCAUCUUUGUGUUCAGCUUAGUGCUGGGGCAUUCAAAUUUUAACAAUACGUUAUUUCAAUGGUUUUUCAUUUUUUUUUGGUAAUGUUGUAUUUUUUAUUUCUUAUUUUAAACAAAAUAAGAAAGAAAAGGAAUUUUCAAUUUGCUGGAAAAGGAACACGUUCCUUGCUUUUGUAAUUAAUUACGUUUUUCGUUACAUUUCUAAAAACGUAAUUAAUUACAGGUUAAAAUUACUUCAAAUGUAACAAGUACACAGUAACGCCUUACAAUUGUAACGAGUGUUUACAGCCCUGCCAUGCAGGGCACCCACCUCCAAAAUAGUAAUCAUGAUGACUAUAAUAGAACAAAUUGUGAACUCAAACUUGCUAUUAAGGGAUUCCGGCAAGCAAAAAAUAAAACUGAAUCGUUAACUCGAAAUUCAAAAUAGUCGCCGCUUCAGAGAGUUUGAGUAAACGUGGCUCUAUUUCCUGAAACUGAACAUGUCAAGUAAACUAAGAGACGGAUUGAACAUGCAUGUAAAGGUAAAGGCCCCGCUGAACAGAAACGGCGGGAGAGCUUUCAUUGUGUUAAAUUCACGACGUCCACGUCAUUCAUGCUGAUUAAAUUCAUUAAAUUCAUUUAUUGAGACCGAGGGAAACAGUGUGUUUUGUGGACCUGAACAGCACCGGCGGUCGACUGGGCCAUAAAAGAUGGCGUUGAGGGGCCACAAAAAACAGUGCCGGUGGUCGGGUAGCCUGGGUGUCAGGCUCUAUAAUGCUUGAAAUAGAGCCUGCUACUAAAGUUAAUAAAAAGUGGAUUUAUGCAGGCCUCGAAUUGGAAACUCUUGUUAGUUGAAUUUUAUUGGUUCUCUCCUGUCAUGCACUGAGGAAAUUUUUCAAAAAUUCAAAAAGUGCCCCCAAACCACUUCUAACUUUCUGAAACUCACUGAAAAUUGUCAAAAACCAUUUCUCUCAUCAAAACAGUUAGUUUCGACUGAUGAAAACAUGUUUUAAAAAAUAUUGGUAAAAUUUUGGUACCCUAGGCUUUAAGCAAAGGGGGAACCACAGGAAAUUUUUCAAAAAUUGGGUUAUUCCAGAAAACAUCCAUACCACCCCCACGGAGGAAAUAGGAAGUUAACCCCCCUACCCCCUUCGGAUGUCCUAAUACAUUUACUAUUAUCAGAAACAAUUUUUUCUCCCCUCCCCCUCCGGACGGCAGAAAUUUCCUCCGUGGGGGGAGUACGAAUCUUUUCUGGAACAACCCAUUCAAAAAGUUCCCCAAACCACUCCAAACUUUACAAACAUAAAAAUACUUUACAAAUUUUAAGACACAGUAAUAACGUUAGUAAAUGCAACAACAUAAUUAUUAUCAAAGAUUAUAUUGUUGGAAAUUUACUACUAUAAAUGCAAUCUGGUCUCAAGGCAUUCAUCUCUUUUCUUAAAACAUGUAAAGGGGGACCACAGGCAUCCCUAGGGUGACCAAAGGGGGGGGGGACCAAUUGUGUGGACAUGUUUGAAGGUUUUUCUCUGGAUACUCUGGUUUCCCUGUCACUUAAAACGAACCUUUUAGGCCUUUAAAUAGCUGCAUGAUGAGCAUGUGUGUCACAAGCCCAUGACUCGGCUGGAUCGAGAGACCAUCAUUGAUGUGGAAAUAUUUUAUAACUAACAAUAUACAAUCCAACUCUUUUUAGAGUCUUCGCAGACUGUCAGCUGUGUCAAGACCGAUCAGUUUGAAGGCAAACAGUAGAGAAAGGACUCAAAGAGAUGCCGAGCAGUCGGAAGUAAAAAUGACAGAGGACAAAUGCAGAACGUCAACAGCAUUAUAGACCUUAACUCGAUUGCUAACCAUCCGAAUUCAAGUCGCACUAGAACCAAUAAUCAGUGCACAACAGUGACAAAACCACGUACAGUGAUUACUAAUCUGCAUUGUAGACUUUGUAACUCAUUCAUUUGCAAACUCAUUCAUUUGCAAACUAUGAGCAUUGAUCAACUAAUUCUGUUUGUUCCAAAUUUGGAAGAUUGUUAAGUCACAACAGAUGCAGCACCAGAGACAAUUUUCAAUUCACAUCGCCACAGUCUUGACAGUGUUGGAAACCCCAAAGGAAGAUAACCUAUCGUCAUCAUCAUCGGAUUCUAUUGAAUGUGCCAAGUUGGGAUACAAGAACCUGUCAAACCACAUCAGACAGUACUAAGACACUAACCAUGGAAAUGAAGAAUGCUUUCUUGUUUGCAUAAAGUAGUUGCUCAGGAAAACACCAUCAUUACACAAGGUAUAUAUAAUAUAUUCUUCUGCAAUUUGUAAUGUGAUUUUGUAUACCGUAAACCUCCAAAUAUAAGCUCCCCCGUGUACUGUAUAAGCCCACCACAACACUCACCUCAUUCCAAAGAUAAGCCUCCCCGAAUAUAAGCCCAUUUGUUUAUCACUAUUACCACUAUUAAUCACUAUUAUUACUGUGCUUAACACUUGUUUAUCACUAUUACUAUACUUGUUUAUCACUAUUACAGUACACUAACACAAAAGAUCGUCCAUGUAUAAUAAGCCCCCGUAUAUGAGCCCCUCCCUUGUAUAAUCCCAUCAAAAAUCGCAUAUGAAAGAAUAUAAGCCCGAGGCUUAUAGUCUGAGGUUUACGGUAUGCCUUUGCAGGCUUCACCCACUUGGCUUAUGUAGUUGUAAAGACUGUUCACAUGGGCAAUAGAAUAAGAAAGUUAGGAAACUUGAUGCAGACAUAAUGGACUUCAUUAUCUACAUGUUUUUGUCUUGGUUUAUGCAAGAAAUGAUCUGUUCAUCGUCACAUGUGUAUUGUAUUUUUGCUAAAGCAACCAAAAGCUACUGCCAUUUGCGUUCAAGCUUGAAGCGUGCAAAAAUGUUCAGGUUUAUUUACGUUUCAAAGGAUAUCACGCCCGUUUGGCUGCAUGAUAAAAUUGAAUCGUUUGAAAAUAUAAAAAUAUUGAUUGUGGAAGCAAGAAUAUACUUUUAUUCUUGUAUUCUCGUGAUUCUAAAUACUAUACAAUCAAUUAUUUACAUUUUGUAGCUGAAUUAAUGUAGCUGAAUUAAUGUUUACAACAUGAGCAGCCGUGUUGUAUCGGAUAUACAAACUCGAGCCGAAGGCGAGAGUUUGUAAUAUCCGAUUUACACAGACGCGAAUGUUGUAAACAACUUAAGAAACGACUCAUCAUAUGAGUUCAUUGGCGAAGUAAUUUUAAAAAUAAACGUUGUCUAAGCCGAGAAAAUCAAAGUUAAAGUUUAUGUAAAUCAACAUGAAUCUGUAUCACAUAUACAGAUACGACACGCUUAUGAUUUUUCUUUGUGUUUUCUUCAUGAAUUAAUGAGUUUUUUAAUAGGGAUUUACAGCACAAAAAUGUACAAACGUCAUUGGAAUUCAAACGAAACAUGACAUAUUAUGUAACAAAUAAGAACCGUUGCAUGGUUCAAACGACCAGUUUCAUUGGUCAAAAGGGCGUGAUUACCCCCUGGAACAUUACGUUUAAAACAUAAAUAAACAUAAAAAAAUUUGCACGCUUCUGUGAGUGAAGCUUGAACGCAAAUGGCAGUAGUUAUGUUUUCAUUGUUUUCAACCAUUGUGUAAUAUCACAACUGCAUGGGUAAUUAAACCAAAAUGCUAUUAUUGGUUGGUUGGGCAAGAAAACAUGACCGGCUAAACAGAGAGUAAUAUGAGGUGGAGAGUAAUUACUGUAUCUCGGAGAGUUAUGUUCAAACCACACCCACUUUUCCCAACGACCACACCCAAUUUCUUAACUCUCCCGACGUUUCCUUGAACUAACAUGAGAGAGUUAUGUUUUACACAACUCUCUCUCUCUCGUUAACAUUAUGAAAAUGUUAGAGAGUUGUCAUUUUUAUAACUCUCCGCGUUCAUGAUUGCAUCAUGUGGCAAUGAAGAGAGUUAAGUUAGUUUUUUGAGAAAACCUUCCACAUAUUAGUACAUUUUACUAAAUUUACAAGUGUCAACAUUUUACGCUAGUAGAAACUAAUAGUACUUUUGUACUUACCAAGUUCAUCUACAGUAUAUGUAUGUAAAUGUUUAUAUAUAAAUGUACAUGCUCACUUGGAUUAUCUAGCAAGACCAGCAUUCAGAUACAUAUUAGAUAGAACAAGAAGAUCUUUCCAAUGUAAUGCCCUAUUGGCUGAUUUGGGAAAGUAUUUCCAAAGCCUGAAUUGCUGAAAGAUUCAAUUUUCUUAAUUUUCUUGCAACUAUGCUUGCCGUAUUUACUGCCAAAUACACGUCAAAACAUUCUUCUGGGGGUACUAAUUGACUGAGUCAAGUUGCAUUUCCUGUUUGGACGCAUUCUAUUGACAUGCUACAAACUGAAAUACCAAAAAAUAAGAUGAAAAUCUGAAGAAACAAGCUUUACGAACUAAGGUUUUCUUAAAAAAACUGACUUAAUUAACUCUAUUCAUUGCCAUAAUCGUUAUAAAAAAUGAUAACUCUCUAACAUCUUCAUAAGUUAACGAGAGAGAGUUGCAUCAAACAUAACUCAAAUAUGUUAGUUCAGGAAACGUCGAGAGAGUUAAAAAAUUGGGUGUGGUUGUUGAGAAAAGUGGGCGUGGUUUGAAUAUAACUCUCCGAAAUCAUAACUCUCCGGUUGGUAACUCCCCGGUUGGUAACUCUCGCUUAAGUCAUACCCCAAGAAAACAAUAGAGAGUUUAAGUUCGACUUCCAGUACCGAUACCGAUGUCUUCACUUCCGUUCUCAUAAAGCGUUAAGCUAUGACACGACUGAUAAAGUAUAGAACACAUUAAUCGUCACCAAAAAAAUGACUCAGACGAUGCCAAUAAACAAAUAGUUUACGUGUUUAUUGUAAAAAUUAUGAAAUAUCCGAUUUAUUUGAGUUUAUCUUACAAUUCCCACGACUUCCAAUACAUUAGGCCGAAUUCGAUAGUGGUGACUUCCAAUACACUUGUCCUUGUGCUUCUUGUGAGCAGAGCGCAUGCGCAUGACAUGUUGGUAUUGGUAUUGGUAUUGGUAUUGGAAGUCGAACUUAAACUCUCUAAUACACAUGUGACGAUGAGCCAACCAUUUUUUGCAAAAACCAAGACAAAAAUAUAGAUCAUGUAUGAGGUCUAUAAAUAUGUCUGUAUCGAAACAUAACCUUGACUAUGAUCACAUGGGGGCCAAUGAUAGGCCUUUCAACCAUUAGGGGCGGACCAUUAGAAAAGUGAUGAUGGGGGNNNNNNNNNNNNNNNNNNNNCAUAACUCUCAUAUGUUAGUUCGAGGAAACGUCGGGAGAGUUAAAAAAUUGGGUGUGGUUGUUGAGAAAAGUGGGUGUAGUUUGAACAUAACUCUCCGGUUGGUUACUCUCCCCCUUAAGGCAUUACCCCAAGAAAACAAUAGAGUUUAAGUUCGACUUACAAUACUGAUACCGAUGUCUUCACUUCCAUUCUCAUUUUCGUUCUGGGAAUUUUAAAGCCUUAAGCUAUCAUGACUGAUAACAUAUAGAACACAUUAAUUGUCACCGAAAAUGUGUGGUAGCAGAGCUAAAAUUCCGACUAAAACAUGACUCAGGCGAUACCAAUAAACAAAUAGUUUACGGGAUUUAUUUGAGUUUAUCUUACAAUUCCCACGACUUCCAAUACAAGGCCGACUUCGGUAGUGAUGACUUCCAAUACACUCGUCCUUGUGCUUCUUGUGAGCAGAGCGCAUGCGCAUGACAUGUUGUUGGUAUCGGUAUUGGAAGUCGAACUUAAACUCUCUAAUAAUACACAUGUGACAAUGAGCCAACCAUUUUUUGCAAAAACCAAGACAAAAACAUAGAUCAUGUAUGAGGUCUUUUAUGUCUGUAUCGAAACAUAACCUUGACUAUGGUCACAUGGGCGCCAAUGAUGAGCCUUUCAACCAUUAGGGGCAGACCAUUAGAAAAGUGAUAUGGGGGGGGGGGGGCAAAAGCAAAAAUAGAAAUCGAGCAGGGGAAACAAAAAAAAUUCUAGCACAAAAAAAGUUUAAAAAAAAAUUUGUGCAUAGACUUUUCAAUAGGGAAAAUUAUAAGUUGUGUAAGGGUGGCCCCCAAUUGUAAACCUAAAUAUUGAAGAUAUUGGUGCAAAAAAAGGUUUUACGCAUGUAUUAACAAGAAUAUGUGAGGGAAAAUUUUUUUGAAUUGAAAAAAUUUGAGCAAGGGAUGAUUUAAAAAAAAUUAUCAACACAAGCAAAAAAUUUUGAGAAAAAAUAAUCGCAGAGGUUGGAAAUGCCCCCCCACCCCCAUCACUUUUCUAAUGGUCUGUCCCUUAGUUGACUAUGUCACCAUCAAGGGGGGGGUACCUAAUUGGAUGUCAGUUGAUAUACAUACAGUAAGCUACUUCUUAGAAUAUUUAGGGGUGCACCGGAACUCGGUUCCGGCUGGAACAUCGAUUUUUUAGAGUUCUGGUUCCGGCUUGAACUAGUAAAAAAAGCAUGGCCGGAACCAGAUCGAACUCUGUCGUUUUCAGAGAGAUAAAAUAUCAAACGUUUUUGUGUCUAACAAAAGGUCACAGUAGGAAGAAAUUUGGACUAUGCAAGGGAAAUGUACACUAACACUUCAUUAUGACGUUUAACGCUUGUCAAUCUUUUUAUUCUAACAUUUGCGAGCUCUCUCCUUGAUGACUUGAAGUGUAUAUGCAGCGGACAAAGUAACAUAUGACUAUAUAUGGCUUAAUAAGUUAGUUCCGGUUCCGGCCAGAACUUUUUUCCAGUUCCGGUCGGAUCCGUUUCCAGCCCGGAACUUAAAAAACUGGUUCUGGUACACCCCUAAGAAAAUUUAUAUUAAUUUGCAGGCAAAUACAAGACUAUCGGUACUGCAUAUAAUGAAAAUAAGUAUUUUAUCACUAUGAUAAUUCUCGGUUGAAGCCAUGUAAUUAAAUACUUCUUAUUACCUCCAAUUUAGAUUCUCGCUGGUCAUGACAGUUGUAUCCGAAAGAAAGUGGGGCCAUGGAUGCUGGUCGAGUUCUAAACAGGGACCAUCAUGAGGACGUCCAAUUAUGCACAAAACUAAUUUCGUAUGUGGCAUCUUUAAUAUAAUUUCACUUUAUUUUUGAGAAGAAAUUUCACCAAAAUUUUAACAGUGAAGCUUAGUGGUGGCUGUGGAUACUUUUGGUAUAUUAUGUACUUUAAUGGAUUAUAAUGAACAUUUGUGGAUUACUAAGGAUAUUUAUUACCAUGAACAUGUCCGGACAUAUGUACCUCUAUAUCAACGGUUACCCACAGACAUCGAUGUACCUCGAUAAUGGAGCUGCACUAUGGUUAAAGUGAGGUCUACCUUAAGGUACAGAUUUUCAUUGUUAGCCUGCUAUUGGGCAGUAGUUAGCCUGCUAUUAGGCAAUAGUUAGCCUGCUAUCAGGCAAUAGUUACCCUGCUCUCAGGCCGUAGUUAGCCUGUUAUCAGGUAAUGGUUAGCCUGCUAUCAGGCAGUACCUGUAUUUCGGUAUUGAAUUUGUACCCAUGACUCUAGUUUGCAUGUGUGCGGUGAAGUCUCUGGGUAGGCU
This 13453-nucleotide long non-coding RNA is filed under the name Paramuricea clavata. Lineage: Eukaryota; Metazoa; Cnidaria; Anthozoa; Malacalcyonacea; Plexauridae. The record is from RNAcentral.